RNAcentral lists this ribosomal RNA (464 nucleotides) under Capnocytophaga sputigena. RNAcentral's name for it is "bacterial SSU rRNA". It matches the Rfam family "Bacterial small subunit ribosomal RNA", at positions 28 to 499 of the family's 1533-position model. The record is from RNAcentral. Lineage: Bacteria; Pseudomonadati; Bacteroidota; Flavobacteriia; Flavobacteriales; Flavobacteriaceae.
GAUGAACGCUAGCGGCAGGCCUAACACAUGCAAGUCGAGGGAGAAGCCUUCGGGCUGAAACCGGCGCACGGGUGCGUAACGCGUAUACAAUCUGCCUUUCACAUAGGGAUAGCCCGAAGAAAUUUGGAUUAAUACCUAAUGGUAUAUAAGAGCGGCAUCGUUUUUAUAUUAAAGCUACGGUGGUGAAAGAUGAGUAUGCGUUCUAUUAGCUAGUUGGAGAGGUAACGGCUCCCCAAGGCGACGAUAGAUAGGGGUUCUGAGAGGGAUGUCCCCCACACUGGUACUGAGAUACGGACCAGACUCCUACGGGAGGCAGCAGUGAGGAAUAUUGGACAAUGGUCGGAAGACUGAUCCAGCCAUGCCGCGUGCAGGAUGAAGGUCCUAUGGAUUGUAAACUGCUUUUGUAAGGGAAGAAUAAGGAGUACGAGUACUUUGAUGACGGACCUACGAAUAAGCUCGCAUCC